This 101-nucleotide non-coding RNA is filed under the name Carnobacterium maltaromaticum. RNAcentral describes it as "Guanine sequence". It matches the Rfam family "Purine riboswitch aptamer". From Rfam's summary of the family: Riboswitches are metabolite binding domains within certain messenger RNAs that serve as precision sensors for their corresponding targets. Allosteric rearrangement of mRNA structure is mediated by ligand binding, and this results in modulation of gene expression. The record is from RNAcentral. Lineage: Bacteria; Bacillati; Bacillota; Bacilli; Lactobacillales; Carnobacteriaceae. RNAcentral also lists the same sequence under 1 other name.
AUUAAUCUAAAUUAAUUCACUCAUAUAAUAGUCGAGAUAAGGUCGACGAGUAUCUACCCAGCACCGUAAAUGGCUGGACUAUAAGUGAAGAAUACAAGGAU